GAAGUUGAAAUUGUUUAAACAUUACAAUGUUCUAACCAAACAAAAAAAGAGAACUCAAAAUAUCUAAAUAUAAUCACAGUCAUGAAGAAAUUAUCUUCAUUCAAAUAAUCAAACAAAAGCAUCAGCCAUUUUAGAAGGAAGCUGCUAGUAUGCAUAACGAAGUCGAAGAACUUCAUAAUCAAAUCCGGAAUUCAAAUAAAGAUGCAAAAUAAACUGUUUUUGUUGAUGAUCUCAAACAGAAAGCUCAGAACAUAUAAUUACAAGCUCAAAAAACGAAAAUAGAAAAUACCAGAACCUUAACAGCAAGACUUACUAACGUAAUUCACAACAGAAGAAUAUAAAAGAUAAAUCUGCAAAUCAUUAGAGUUAACUACACAAAGGGGUAGGAAAUCGAAACAGAAAUAAUGCACAACCUUGAGGGUCUUCUUUUAAAGGGAAAAAAAUCUGAGUUCAUGCAAGUUAUCAAGAAUCAUCUAACAAAGAUGAAAACUGCCAUCAAUAUUUUUUUUAA
Long non-coding RNA from Hibiscus syriacus, 511 nucleotides. RefSeq lists it as uncharacterized. Lineage: Eukaryota; Viridiplantae; Streptophyta; Magnoliopsida; Malvales; Malvaceae. The transcript has 3 exons. The record is from RefSeq and is a predicted model, not a curated record.